RNAcentral lists this long non-coding RNA (487 nucleotides) under Androctonus crassicauda. Lineage: Eukaryota; Metazoa; Arthropoda; Arachnida; Scorpiones; Buthidae. The record is from RNAcentral.
UCUUUACUCACGUCACAAAAUGGAUGGAUAAAGUGAAGGAGCUCCAGUGUGUCUUAGAAGUGGGGUCGGGGUUUGGCUACCCACACAGCGUAGUGUUGGGCAUAUGGAAGGGGCAAGUGUCCCGGCUGCAGCACCGUGAACGUGUGGACCAUGCAGGUCGGAUGCAUGAUGGGCCUGGACUUGUAUCGCUCACAUAUGACAGGGAUAUUGUCAACAUGGUGGCUGGAGUGCUCAGGAAUGAUGAUGCAUGUAUGCUGGUUCCGGGGCGGCGUCCUGCGCUGUUCCGGCUCCUGCGGAGUGGCGGGGACCCUGUCCCCGAGGACCGGGGGGCGGGAAUGUAUACGGUCCCCUUGUGCAGCCAUAGUGAAGGCCGGAACCAGUGUUAUGUUGGCGGUGCUGGGCGGAGCCUGAAGGGGCGGAUUGGGGAGCAUAGGGCAGACGUUGCCACUGGUGGACUUGCCGCUGCCCUCGCGGUGGGGGGCUGCGA